GUCCCGUUACCCCAGCCUCUCCCAUGGUUCUUGGAAUUCCAAAUCCAAAGGCCCCUCCUUCGCUUUUCCACUUUCCUGGCUGAUACUCCUGCUUGCCCUAACAGAGGACUCAUUCUCCAAAUCCCUUUCUCCCUCUGAGUUUUCAGUGAAACAAAGUUAAGGUUAUGGAAGAUGAAGGGUAGCCCUCAGGUCACGGCACCUGCCGGGCCCCGAAGAGAUAGUGGUCUGGCUCCCAGGCUGGUCGCUGAGGCCCCUGUGUUUCGGCAUCAUAGUCUCCCUGCUCCAGACGUGAGGACCAGAGCUCUAUUGCCGUGGGUGCUGAGCCCAGUGUCUGCUGGGAAAUUCAGCAUCUAGGUGGUUAUCCUGUUUCAUCAAGAACACAGUGUGAGAAAGAGAAUGAAUUAUUCACAAAGUUUGAAAGAAAACUGCUCAGUUCUACAAGCUACUUGACUGCAGGCUGGAGCCUUUGCAGAAGGGCAGCCAGAAGCCACUCACCGACCGUGCUGCAUGGGAGUCUCCAACCAAGGCAGAAAAGAAAGUCUGUUUGCUCAGACAGAAGAUUAUGUAACACAGCACAAUCAUGGAAGUGACGACCCAGGACCUUUUCCAUAUUUUACUGGUUAAAAGCAAGUCCCAGUUUUGUCCACAGGCAGGGGGGUGAACAGCCUUACACAAAAGUAUGGAUGUCCUUGCAUGCACACAAGGGUAUUAAUCCAGGAGGUGGGUAUGUGAACUUGAAGUUCACCUUCAAGUCUGUUGGCCACGAGUACUAAUAGUAAUUUGAGAUUAAAAUGAUGUAAAUGUAUGGAAACGUUGCUUGCUAACUCUUAGAUAACAUAUUUGUGUGUCAGUAAAUAUUUGGUCACUUGAACAAUUUUUAACCGUUCAGCCCAAUAAGGCAUUUGAUCUUUGUUAUGACUAUAAAUACAGAGAAGAGAAGCAGAAAAUUUGGAAGGCUCAGAAUAUAGGCUUUCUUUGAAAAAUGCACUGCAGAAAAGUCAGCAUCUUGAACUUACUGGGGGGAUUUCCACCUGACUUUAACGAAAAGAACUGGGUGGAAAAAUCCCAUACACCAAUAAACCCGGAGGCUGAGGAGGGGCUUCAAAGCCCUCAGGGCUCUGCAGGUGACACAAGUGGCUUCUAACUUCCCUCUGCACCGAGAGCACGCUUUGGCUUCAGUGUUAGGGGAUGGGAAGAAUAUUUUAUGGGAACACUUUUGUCAUCUUUUUAUGACAGUAAUCCCACUUUCUAGGCUGUCCAGGAAAUCUGACCUUUGUUUAUAACAUUGUCUAUAAUCAAAAAUCAUUCCAUAUAGUCACAUCUUUAAUGUGUGUUUUAUUGGACGCAAUCCCUUUUAAAGUUGGGCAUUGUUUUCAUUUCCUGUUGCUAUGUAAAUAGUGACCCCAAAACAUGGCUUAGACAGCAGAUCUUUAUCUUUAACAAUUUCUAUCCUAGAGAGUCUGGGUGUGGUCUUGCUGGGUGCCUGUGACUCAAAACCUCUGUGAGGUCACAGACAAGGUGUCACCUGGGGCUGCAGGCACCUCAGGCUUCACCAGAGCUGCUUCCAGCUCAAACACAAGUUGCUGGCGGGGUCACAUCUUUCCUGGCUGCAGAUCUGGGCUUCUCCAUCCAUAAGGCUGCUCACACCUGGGCAGAUGGUCCCUGGUGGCAGGUAUCUGAGGCAGUGAGAGUGUGGAGGGGACCCCAAAGCAAAAGCCACAGCCUUGGAUACCCUAAUCCAGUAGGUGGCCUCGCAGCACUUCUACCAUAUCAUGUCCUUGGAAGUGAGUCACUGGGUCUAGUUUAUACUCAGGUGGGGUGACUGCCAGAGGGCAGGGGUCCUGGAGACAGGACUGUGUGUGCAUCUCAGACGCUGCCCGCCACAGGUGCUGGUGUCCUGAUAAAAUAGCACAUGCAGGAAGAGGGGAUAUAACGUGCGUUAGUGGUCCCAGUGUCCUAGGCGUCUUUCUUCAUCAUGCUGGCUUUACCUGCGCAAGACUUUCGGAAAUUGACCUUCAGAGACAUUGUGGAAAUUGGCUGAGGCCACAGAGCAGGGGUGCGACCCGAGGGCUACGUUCACCAGGCCCUCAUCUCAGGCAGCGCCCCCGUGAUGACACGUGCUGGCCUGAUUAUGGCGAUCCAAUGGGAUAAUGGAGCAGUUCAGAAGCAUAACAAGUUUUAAACCACUGAGGGUAAGAGAUAUCUUUACAAUUCUGAAUUUUACCAGAGAUUCUUACAAAAGAACACAGCCCAUACCUGGCUGUUGAAAUGAGUUAAAUUCAGUGUUUUAACUGUUGUUCUGUGGCUUGGUGUUGGUGACACUUUCUCUGUGGCCUGUUUCUGACCUACAUAGGUGGAUAGGUAGUCAAUCAGUCUUUCUCUCUCUAUUUCUUCUUCUACACACACACACAUACACACACGCGCACACACACACGCGCACACACACACACACACAUGCGCGCGCGUCAUGACUACUCAGAAACCAGAACUAGAGGCAUGUGUCUGUACCCCGACCACCCACAUCCGUUCUGCGUUCACCCCUCUUCUGCUUCCCUCUUUCCCGAGGCUGAUACUAACCACGGAUCCCUUUGGACUCCACACACCUUCCCAGUCUACCCAGUCACUUAUGAGCUCAUAGCCGUAAUUUUUUUUUUAAUUUUUAAUUUUUAAUUUCAUAUUGGAUCUCCCUUUCUUGUCCCUAAAUGACAUCCUGUGAAUGUUCCAUACAUUUUCAGCCAUCACAUUCGAUUGUUCAAAGUCCAAUCCAGUUCAAAAACCAACCUCAAAAGUGGUUUAAAUCUUAUCGCUUUUCCCCAAAGCCGGCUGGGUGCUGUGUCGCAGACCUGAGGUGAGGGAUGGAGUGGGUACAACUUUCACUCCUCCCCUUCAUCUGUUCCACUCUCCCUGCCCUGUUCAACAGUCAGAUUGCAGAUGUAAGCAGUCAUAGUUAAUGUUUUAGGCUUGUAACAUUAAUUAAAAUUAAAUUCCCCAAAUCACAGCCCUGGAAAAAGGCAGUAUUGAGUCAACUUCUGUGUCCUUCUUGAGUGACCGUUUGUCACCUUCCUUAAACCAAAUGUAUUCCCCUCUCAUCCAUAAGCGGAUAGCAAGCAUUCCGCUAGUAUUAUUUCCCUAAAUGCAUACGAUGAAUCCUCUUCCAUGAAAGAAAAAGAAAAAGGAAAACUCCAAGGAGCUAAAGACUUCCAGCAGCACAUUAACUUGCUUCAUACAGAUUUUCAUCCCAGAGAAAGGAUGUUGAAUAUUUGCGGAAGGCAGGCUGAUCCCCAAAUAUGCCUUACGUACAAACCCCUGAAACGUGUGGAUCUAGCGGGAUUAGCCUGGAUGGGCCCAGGGUGAUCACAGGAGACGGACCCCGGGCAGGAGAAGGGUCCCAGGACCACGACCGGCUGGACGCUGGAGGGGCCGCAAGGAAAGUGCGGGAAGAAGCUGAGUUCUGCACCAUCGGAGCUUGGAAGAGGACCCCAGCCUCAGAUGAGAAAGGCAGUGCCCACCCACACCUCAAUUUCAGCCCUGAGAGACCCUGGGCUGGACUUCUGACUGGAAGUAAGGUAUGAAGUUGUAACAUAGAUGCUGUUACAAAUGCGUUCUGCCUGCCCACGGGAACCACAUGCAGCAGAUGUGGAGGAUGUCUGAGGUACUGGAGCAAAAAGGAUGUCUUCAAGUUCAGAGGAAGAUUUUCCCCCUUGUGCAGUCAUUAAAUCUGAUAAAAUUUAAGACUUUUCUUCUGGACCUUGAUUUGGACGGAUGCGAGGAAAAGCGUGUAGGAGACCCCAUCAGAGGCAGUAAUAGAGCAGAGCAGUUAGUGGGUGUCUGUCACCUUGCAGAGGUUGUGGUGACCCAGCUAACGUGGACCACUGCUGACUCCUGGACCAGAGAACUUGCCACGUGAACAACUAUUUAAAUGCCCUAAAAUUGUGAUGCGUCACAGUUGCAGGGAAAGAUGCCAAAAUAUCUUUCCUAUGAAUAUGUAUGAAUGUUACGGUAACUAUGUGCUGUACAAAACUAUGUCACACACCACAUGGCUGUGGCGGAUGCAUUCCUGUUACAAAGCCUUAGUCACUCUGCAUGUCCACGUGAUUUGGCCGUUCCUCCCACACAAAGUGGCAUGUAUCUCCCGGCCCCAUUGAUGUCUGAGUCCGUCUUUGUCCAGGGGACGUUAGCAGACAUGGUAGGAGGGAAGGCUCGGCUCCCACUUGCCCUCAGCCUGGGAAGACCAUGCGUCAUGCAGCCCCCUGCCCCCCUGAAGAUGAAUGAAGCCCUGCCCUGCCCUGGAUCAGCCAACACCCAGCACAUACCUUGCGCAGCAAGAAUAAACUACAGCUUUGGGGACAACUGAGCUUUGGUUUGUUAUGCAGAGUUACUACGACAGUGAAUGAUAAAAUGCUUCCCAGAGUAAUUAAACACAUGUGUUUCUAAACAUGGAAGGAUUCCCAAGUUUUCAGUGCAAAUGCAGAUAACUCUAAUAUAGUUUGUUUUUUUAAAAAUGUUGAUAAAGAUUCUUUCCUUCUAGUAUUUCCAUUGUGACAAUAUUAAACCCACAGGAAGACUUACCGGCAGUAACUAAAACCUCAAAUGUAUGUUUUCCUUUCUAUAUGCCAUUCUGUUUUCCCCUUAGGUGAAGAAGUAAAAACAAUUCUAGGGACAACAUGGGAAGAAAAAUACAGGCACAUGCACAAUUGGGGUUUUCUGACAAGUUCUCCAUUAUAUUGGAAGCAAAAUGCUCUAUUUUAUAGUCUUGUCACACAGCAUAGCUACAAGCAGGCACUCUGGAUUUUUCUACUAAAAUAAACAUUCAAGAAAAAUAACUAGGAAAAGGCACAUUUGAACCACCUAGCAAGGCACCAGAAGGAGGCAACCAUUAGCUAUCAAUAUUGACUAAAAAGAGUCUGUUGGGCAGGCUGGAGAGAGGUUUCGUUUUGUCUGUGAUGUUUGUAAAUCAAACUCUUGCAGGUGUUAUGAACAUAUCUGCAUGUUUUACUAUGUCCAUCUGUUACGAUUUCAUAAGUCAAAUAUUUCUCUUCCAAAGUGUUUCAUCACUUGCAUUUUAUUUCCUCCCAUGAAUCAAAAAUUACAAAUCUAGUCAGAUCAAACAAAUCAAGUUGGCGAAAUAGAAAAUGCAUAGAAUCUUUGAUUGUAAACAAGUCAUGAACAUUUCUGUGAUUCCGUUGUUUAUGCCUCAAAAAAGUAAGAAAUGAGAAUGCCUGAGACCAGAGUUUUAGGUAGAAGUCUGCAUUAAUGGUUGUUGCU
Long non-coding RNA from Balaenoptera acutorostrata (minke whale), 5265 nucleotides. RefSeq lists it as uncharacterized. The transcript is spliced from 4 exons. The record is from RefSeq and is a predicted model, not a curated record. NCBI's taxonomy places the organism in Eukaryota, Metazoa, Chordata, Mammalia, Artiodactyla, Balaenopteridae.